UAGGGUUUGAUCCUGGCUCAGAAUGAACGCUGGCGGUAGGCUUAACACAUGCAAGUCGAACGGAAACGAUAAAGAGCUUGCUCUUUAGGCGUCGAGUGGCGGACGGGUGAGUAACGCGUGGGAAUCUACCCUAUAGUUGAGGACAACAUAUGGAAACGUAUGCUAAUACCGAAUAUGCUCUACGGAGUAAAGGAGCCCUCUUCUUGAAAGGUUUCGCUAUAGGAUGAGCCCGCGUUAGAUUGGCUAGUUGGUAAGGUAAAGGCUUACCAAGGCGACGAUCUAUAGCUGGUUUGAGAGGAUGAUCAGCCACACUGGGACUGAGACACGGCCCAGACUCCUACGGGAGGCAGCAGUGGGGAAUAUUGCACAAUGGACGAAAGUCUGAUGCAGCCAUACCGCGUGUGUGAAGAAGGCCCGAGGGUUGUAAAGCACUUUCAAUUGGGAGGAAGAUUAAGUAGUUAAUACCUACUUAGUUUGACGUUACCUUUAGAAGAAGCACCGGCUAACUCUGUGCCAGCAGCCGCGGU
RNAcentral lists this ribosomal RNA (527 nucleotides) under uncultured bacterium. RNAcentral describes it as "bacterial SSU rRNA". It matches the Rfam family "Bacterial small subunit ribosomal RNA", at positions 1 to 521 of the family's 1533-position model. The record is from RNAcentral.